CGAUGGAGAACGGGCGGCCGCGCAGGCAGCAGGUACCGUAGCAACAGCUGGACCUGGAGACGAUCGGCAGCUUCUGUCAGUGAUUCUGGACAGAACCCAGGUAAAAGGAUGCAGCCUCCACCUGGGCCUCCACCCAUCCUUCACCCUGCCGGCGGUUGCCAUGGUGAUGCAACAGCCAAGAGAUUCUGCAGAAGAAUCCAUUAUCUGAUGCAGGGGGAGGAUGUCUGAGCACGGUUGCCAUGCAACAGGUUGCCAGGAAAACAGAUCUGAGCAGAAGAAGAGGAGAGGAAGAGGAGGAAAGAUGCGCCAUGUAAGGAUGGAGGAGGAAGGAGCGCGGCGAUGUGACGUAGGAGAUCCACGGCGUUUCUGUCCAGUUGAUGAAUCAGAGCGAAUUCACUCUGACAUCAACGAGUCAGAACCAGAAUAUUUCAGUCCGAAAAGGAAAACAAAGACAAUCAGACGACUUUCACCAACUGUCAUCCUGACAAUAAACCACCAGAACCUCCAUCAGAACCUCCAUCAGAACCUCCAUCAGAACCUCCACCAGUUAUAAACCACCAGAACCUCCACCAGAAUCUCCAUCAGAACCUCCACCAGUUAUAAACCAUCAGAACCUCCAUCAGAACCUCCACCAGAACCUCCAUCAGAACCUCCACCCGUUAUAAACCACCAGAACCUCCACCCGUUAUAAACCACCAGAACCUCCACCAGUUAUAAACCACCAGAACCUCCACCAGAACCUCCACCCGUUAUAAACCACCAGAACCUCCACCCGUUAUAAACCACCAGAACCUCCACCCGUUAUAAACCACCAGAACCUCCACCCGUUAUAAACCACCAGAACCUCCACCAGUUAUAAACCACCAGAACCUCCACCCGUUAUAAACCACCAGAACCUCCACCAGUUAUAAACCACCAGAACCUCCACCAGAACCUCCACCCGUUAUAUACCACCAGAACCUCCACCCGUUAUAAACCACCAGAACCUCCACCCGUUAUAAACCACCAGAACCUCCACCCGUUAUAAACCACCAGAACCUCCACCAG
Xiphophorus maculatus (southern platyfish) is the source of this 1047-nucleotide long non-coding RNA. RefSeq lists it as uncharacterized. The record is from RefSeq and is a predicted model, not a curated record. The transcript has 2 exons. NCBI's taxonomy places the organism in Eukaryota, Metazoa, Chordata, Actinopteri, Cyprinodontiformes, Poeciliidae.